CGAUGGUGGAAAAUUCAGCUUUUAUUUAAUUUUCGGAUCGAAACUGCUUUUUUGGACCUUCAUUGACUGGGCUAUUGGUUCUAUGGACUAAUAUCCUUUUUACACUAAUCGAAAGGUCUAUCUUAAUGGAACAAAAUGGCUACCAUAACUCAUUUUGACAAAAAAUUGGACUAAUACCCUUUUUACAAUCAGAGGUUCAAUUGUGUUUCAGAUUUCAAUUUAUACUGCAGAAAACAUGGAGCAAAGGAUCAAAUACAACUAUCCAAUCAAGGAGGAAUUCGACAGAACCAGAGUUUCAGCCGCACAAUUUUUACAAGUGGAUUACUUCUAAUAACAAAGAGGCGAACAAUUCUGCAGGAAGACAAGCAACCACCGCCCUAGAGCCAGUGGGCAGCCGAGCGACGACCCUGUCGCAGAAGCCAAGUGCCCCCUGUAGCUGUCGCCGUCCCCAGGGGGCCGCGAGGUGGAUGGAAUGCGAAAUGAAUAACAGACGCCCGGUGAUAGUGAGAAUACUGAUGCUGGGUGAGUGCAAUUUUUGUUCUAGAAUGAUCAAGUAAUUAUAAAAAUAAACUGAAAUUGAAAGAAUAGUCACACUGAAGAUAGAGGCCAGUAUGACGAAACACGUCCGAAAAUAACUUGGUAUCUUGACAUAUAAGUACUGUGAGCAUUGAAUUUUAGCAGGAAGCAUGACUUGAUUUCCAUUUGAUAGAUGUUCCAUUUGGUGGUGAAAAUUGAUGGAAAAUAACUUGAUAAGCACUAGCUGCUACUAACUUUCUGUCUAUUUUCCUUGCCUAUAAUUGUUUUGGUUUUCAUGACUUCAGUAGACUUUUUAUAGUGAGAUUCUCAGGUACAAGAUGACAAAUGGCAAAACAAAGAUGUAAGGUAAUAUAUCCAAUAACUCUAACAAUUAAAAUUAUAUACUAAUUAUGGGUCUGGUGCAAAAUUUAAAAAGCGGUUUGACUCAAUGGUCGCGCUAUUAAGCCAUCGCUUAGAUACGUUGAGAAUCAAGCGUCUGCUACUCCCGUUGGAAGGGUGACCACUUGAGCCAACUCCUCUGAAUAUGAUUCAUAAGUAGGAAAAUUGCUUCAUGGUGGUUCGGAACCCUCCUAAAACUGUAGGUCCACUCAUCUCUUACUAUCAUCCGCCUCAUUACCCACGCACAAGCUAACAGCUCAUGUGGGCUUUGCUCUCAGCAAAAAAAAAAAAGAUUCAGGAUUGUAAGGUUUUUUCUAAUAAAGGUUAAUUGUAUACCAGAAAAUCAUUUAAUGUGAGAGUAAACAGAAAGCGGGAAAACUGAAGGGAAGUUAGGUAUGAUAGAAUAUGAGCUUGUGUCAUUGUAGUUGAAUCUUCUAUUUGAUUGUAGCACAGGUUCACCUUGCAGA
Molecule: long non-coding RNA, 1382 nt
Organism: Nilaparvata lugens (brown planthopper)
Lineage: Eukaryota; Metazoa; Arthropoda; Insecta; Hemiptera; Delphacidae
Exons: 3
Source: RefSeq, a predicted model, not a curated record